GAACGCCGGCGGCGUGCUUAAUACAUGCAAGUCGAACGGAAACAGUAGCAAUAUUGUUUUAGUGGCGAACGGGUGAGUAACGCGUUGGUGACCUGCCCCGAAGAGAGGGAUAACAGUUCGAAAGGAUUGCUAAUACCUCAUGUGGUCAUAUGGUUUAGAAGCUUAUGACUAAACGGAUUUAUUCGCUUCGGGAGGGGCCUGCGUCCCAUCAGCUAGUUGGUAAGGUAAUGGCCUACCAAGGCGAUGACGGGUAGGGGACCUGAGAGGGUGGCCCCCCACAAUGGAACUGAAACACGGUCCAUACACCUACGGGUGGCAGCAGUAGGGAAUAUUGGUUAAUGUGGGAAACCGCGAACCAGCAACGCCGCGUGCACGAUGAAGGCCUUCGGGUCGUAAAGUGCUUUUAGAGAGGAUGAGGAAGGACAGUACUCUCUGAAUAAGCCUCGGCUAACUACGUGCCAGCAGCCGCGGUAAAACGUAGGAGGCGAGCGUUAUCCGGAUUUACUGGGCGUAAAGCGCGUGUAGGCGGUCUGACAAGUUGGAUGUGAAAGCUCCUGGCUUAACUGGGAGAGGUCGUUCAAAACUGUUAGACUUGAGAGUGGUAGAGGGAGGUGGAAUUCCGGGUGUAGUGGUGAAAUGCGUAGAUAUCCGGAGGAACACCAGUGGCGAAAGCGGCCUCCUGGACCAUUUCUGACGCUCAGACGCGAAAGCUAAGGUAGCAAACGGGAUUAGAGACCCCGGUAGUCUUAGCUGUAAACGAUGUGAACUAGGUGUCGGUGGGUUCAAAUCCAUCGGUACCGAAGCUAACGCGAUAAGUUCACCGCCUGGGGACUACGGCCACAAGGUU
Molecule: ribosomal RNA, 847 nt
Filed under: uncultured bacterium
Lineage: Bacteria
Description: bacterial SSU rRNA
Rfam family: Bacterial small subunit ribosomal RNA
Source: RNAcentral